GAUGAACGCUGGCGGCGUGCCUAAUACAUGCAAGUCGAGCGAACAGACGAGGAGCUUGCUCCUCUGACGUUAGCGGCGGACGGGUGAGUAACACGUGGAUAACCUACCUAUAAGACUGGGAUAACUUCGGAAAACCGGAGCUAAUACCGGAUAACAUGUUGAACCGCAUGGUUCAACAGUGAAAGACGGUCUUGCUGUCACUUAUAGAUGGAUCCGCGCCGCAUUAGCUAGUUGGUAAGGUAACGGCUUACCAAGGCAACGAUGCGUAGCCGACCUGAGAGGGUGAUCGGCCACACUGGAACUGAGACACGGUCCAGACUCCUACGGGAGGCAGCAGUAGGGAAUCUUCCGCAAUGGGCGAAAGCCUGACGGAGCAACGCCGCGUGAGUGAAGAAGGUCUUCGGAUCGUAAAUCUCUGUUAUUAGGGAAGAACAAAUGUGUAAGUAACUAUGCACGUCUUGACGGUACCUAAUCAGAAAGCCACGGCUAACUACGUG
Molecule: ribosomal RNA, 497 nt
Filed under: uncultured bacterium
Lineage: Bacteria
Description: partial 16S ribosomal RNA
Rfam family: Bacterial small subunit ribosomal RNA
Source: RNAcentral